This is a non-coding RNA of Pseudonaja textilis, 188 nucleotides long. NCBI's taxonomy places the organism in Eukaryota, Metazoa, Chordata, Lepidosauria, Squamata, Elapidae. The record is from RefSeq and is a predicted model, not a curated record.
AUCGUCGGGCUGGUGCUUUCGGAUUCAUGCUUGUGCGAGCAAAGCGUGAUCGAAGCUGCCGUCUCUCUAGAAAUACUGGUGAGGAGGUGUGGUAUGCUGGCUCUGUUGUAAGCGGGCUGGUUGGCUGUGUUGUUAUUUUUUGAUUGGUUGAUGGAGUUGAAGUUUGCAGAUUGACUUAUUUUUUAAGA